This 490-nucleotide ribosomal RNA is filed under the name uncultured bacterium. RNAcentral's name for it is "partial 16S ribosomal RNA". It matches the Rfam family "Bacterial small subunit ribosomal RNA", at positions 29 to 507 of the family's 1533-position model. The record is from RNAcentral.
AGUGAACGCUGGCGGUAGGCCUAACACAUGCAAGUCGAACGGCAGCACAGGAGAGCUUGCUCUCUAGGUGGCGAGUGGCGGACGGGUGAGGAAUACAUCGGAAUCUGCCCAGUCGUGGGGGAUAACGUAGGGAAACUUACGCUAAUACCGCAUACGACCUUCGGGUGAAAGAGGGGGAUCGCAAGACCUCUCGCGAUUGGAUGAGCCGAUGUCGGAUUAGCUAGUUAGCGGGGUAAUGGCCCACCAAGGCGACGAUCCGUAGCUGGUCUGAGAGGAUGAUCAGCCACACUGGAACUGAGACACGGUCCAGACUCCUACGGGAGGCAGCAGUGGGGAAUAUUGGACAAUGGGCGCAAGCCUGAUCCAGCCAUACCGCGUGGGUGAAGAAGGCCAUCGGGUUGUAAAGCCCUUUUGUUGGGAAAGAAAUCUUUCAGGCUAAUACCCUGGGAGGAUGACGGUACCCAAAGAAUAAGCACCGGCUAACUUCGUG